GACGAACGCUGGCGGCGUGCUUAACACAUGCAAGUCGAACGGAAAGGCCCUGCUUUUGUGGGGUGCUCGAGUGGCGAACGGGUGAGUAACACGUGAGUAACCUGCCCUUGACUUUGGGAUAACUUCAGGAAACUGGGGCUAAUACCGGAUAGGAGCUCCUGCUGCAUGGUGGGGGUUGGAAAGUUUCGGCGGUUGGGGAUAGACUCGCGGCUUAUCAGCUUGUUGGUGGGGUAGUUGCUUACCAAGUCUUUGACGGGUAGCCGGCCUGAGAGGGUGACCGGCCACAAUGGGACUGAGGUACGGCCCAGACUCCUACGGGAGGCAGCAGUGGGGAAUAUUGCACAAUGGGCGGAAGCCUGAUGCAGCAGCGCCGCGUGCGGGAUGACGGCCUUCGGGUUGUAAACCGCUUUCGCCGGUGACGAAGCGUUAGUGACGGUAAUGGGUAAAGAAGCACCGGCUAACUACGUG
This 468-nucleotide ribosomal RNA is filed under the name uncultured bacterium. RNAcentral's name for it is "partial 16S ribosomal RNA". It matches the Rfam family "Bacterial small subunit ribosomal RNA", at positions 28 to 507 of the family's 1533-position model. The record is from RNAcentral.